UGGUGAAAGUACACACUGGGUGCUUCAAAUCAUUCAGACGAGAUGCUGUUUUUAGGGCAGUUUAUUAAAGAAGACCUGACAUGGAUGACUUCCAAUGAGAAACGACUGCUAAUACUUAUAUAAAUUCAUUACAGAAGGACCCUACCAGACUAUAUUUGAAUACGGCAUACCCAUGAAUUCUGGAACUGUUAUUCCUUAACCCAGUUUGGAGGAUAAGAGCUUACCAACUAGUUAUAAAUAUGCUGAGGUGAUGUAUUGCAAAAUAGCCAACAUACAACAAUUAAAGGAUAAUUGCAGACUACAUCCUGAUGAAGAUAUGGAUGACCCUCUGUCUGGUCAACAGGAGUUUAAAUAUGGACGGGACAGUUAUAUGGCAGCUCUUCCCUGGCUCAUUCACCUCUUGCCUUCAUUUGUGAAAGGAAGAAAGACUGGAGAGGGUCAAUGUGCAACUGAAGCUACUGAUUGUGCGGUGUGAUGAGCAUCAAUCCAUGCUUUGAGGGGGAUGAAUCAGCACAGCCCUGCCUGCACUGCCUUGGGAACAGAAGUUGCAUCCAGAAUUUUUGCAUCAUUCUGGACCAAAAAGCCAUUCCCUCCAUGAUGAAGACCACUGAUGCAGCCUUCCACUACAUCAUGAGUAAAACAACUACAGAACUAAAUACCAGGUUGGAACGUAUUUAAGAAAAAUGAAACGUCUUUUGAAUUGAAAUGUCUGUUUUGUUAUGGAAAAAUCUUUAGUAUUGUUAAGGAUAAGCAUUUCUGCCUCCCAGUAAGGUAAUUGCAGUGUAUUUUAAUGUUCAAGUUUUGAGUAGGGUGGCUAAUUUUUUUAAAACUCAUUUGAUUUAUUAAAGACCUUAUAAUAAGUGGUUUUCAUGUCACUGCGCUGUGGUAUAAGAUAACUUUCAUUAUUCCAUACUGUAUUCUGCUUCUAAUUGUAGCUGAGGUAUUUAAAUAAGCAGUGUUAAAUGCAAAGUGUUGUGUGUAUCAAUGUAAAUAUUAAAUGUGAUGUACUUUAAUAAAAUGAGGUUUU
Paramisgurnus dabryanus is the source of this 1027-nucleotide non-coding RNA. The record is from RefSeq and is a predicted model, not a curated record. Lineage: Eukaryota; Metazoa; Chordata; Actinopteri; Cypriniformes; Cobitidae.